GAGUUUGAUCCUGGCUCAGAUUGAACGCUGGCGGCAUGCUUUACACAUGCAAGUCGAACGGUAACAGGCCGCAAGGUGCUGACGAGUGGCGAACGGGUGAGUAAUGCAUCGGAACGUGCCCAGUCGUGGGGGAUAACGCAGCGAAAGCUGUGCUAAUACCGCAUACGAUCUAUGGAUGAAAGCGGGGGACCGUAAGGCCUCGCGCGAUUGGAGCGGCCGAUGUCAGAUUAGGUAGUUGGUGGGGUAAAGGCUCACCAAGCCGACGAUCUGUAGCUGGUCUGAGAGGACGACCAGCCACACUGGGACUGAGACACGGCCCAGACUCCUACGGGAGGCAGCAGUGGGGAAUUUUGGACAAUGGGCGCAAGCCUGAUCCAGCAAUGCCGCGUGCAGGAAGAAGGCCUUCGGGUUGUAAACUGCUUUUGUACGGAACGAAACGGUCCGGGUUAAUACCCUGGGCUAAUGACGGUACCGUAAGAAUAAGCACCGGCUAACUACGUGCCAGCAGCCGCGGUAAUACGUAGGG
RNAcentral lists this ribosomal RNA (526 nucleotides) under uncultured organism. Its description in RNAcentral is "bacterial SSU rRNA". It matches the Rfam family "Bacterial small subunit ribosomal RNA", at positions 9 to 532 of the family's 1533-position model. The record is from RNAcentral.